This is an RNA transcript of Fukomys damarensis (Damara mole-rat), 3667 nucleotides long. It is a transcript of the gene named EPH receptor A2, with no coding region annotated. The record is from RefSeq and is a predicted model, not a curated record. The transcript has 18 exons. NCBI's taxonomy places the organism in Eukaryota, Metazoa, Chordata, Mammalia, Rodentia, Bathyergidae.
UACCUCUGAGACGCCCUGGCUGCAGGGUGGAGGGACCUGCCGUGCCAGGCUAACCCUUCAGAGCCCGGAAGCUGGGAGGGACAGACUUCAACCUUGUCGGACUCGUCCUGUUGGACCUCGCAGAAGCCAAAGGGGAGCUCGGCUGGCUCACGUACCCCUACGGCAAAGGGUGGGACGUGGCACAGAACAUCAUGAACGACAUGCCCAUCUACAUGUACACGGUGUGCAACGUGGUGACCGGGGACCAGGACAACUGGCUGCGCACGAACUGGGUGUACCGCGGUGAGGCCGAGCGUAUUUUCAUCGAGCUCAAGUUCACCGUGCGGGACUGCAACAGCUUCCCCGGAGGUGCCAGCUCCUGCAAGGAGACCUUCAACCUCUACUACUUCGAGUCGGACAUGGACUACGGCACCAACUUCCAGAAGCGCCAUUUCACCAAGAUCGACACCAUCGCGCCUGACGAGAUCACCCGCAGCAGUGACUUUGAGGCCCGUCAGGUGAAGUUGAACGUGGAGGAGCGCACCGUGGGGCCGCUCACGCGCAAGGGCUUCUACCUGGCCUUCCAGGACAUUGGGGCCUGCGUGGCACUGCUCUCUGUCCGCGUCUAUUACAAGAAAUGCCCAGAGCUGGUGCAGGGCCUGGCCCACUUCCCUGAGACCAUCGCGGGCUCUGACGCACCGUCCCUGGCCACGGUGGCCGGCAGCUGUGUGGCACACGCUGUGGUGCUGCCCGGGGGAGAGGAUCCCCGCAUGCACUGUGCGGUGGACGGCGAGUGGCUGGUGCCCAUCGGGCAGUGCCUCUGCGAGGAAGGCUACGAGAAGGUGGACGACGCCUGCCAAGCCUGUUCACCGGGAUUCUUCAAGUCCCAGGCGUCUGAGGGCCCCUGCCUGGAGUGCCCUGCUCACACGCUGCCGUCCCUCGAAGGUGCCACCUCCUGCGCCUGUGAAGAAGGCUACUUCCGGGCCCCUGAGGACGCGCUGUCCAUGCCCUGCACUCGCCCCCCAUCCGCCCCGCACUACCUCACGGCCUUGGGCAUGGGUGCCAAGGUGGAGCUGCGCUGGACACCGCCCCAGGACACUGGGGGGCGUGAAGACAUCAUCUACCGGGUCACCUGCGAACAGUGCUGGCCGGAGUCCGGCGAGUGUGGGCCCUGCGAGGCCAGUGUGCACUACUCGGAGCCGCCACACGCGCUCACCCGCACCAGCGUGACGGUCAGUGACCUGGAGCCGCACAUGAACUACACCUUCGUGGUCGAGGCCCGCAACGGUGUCUCGGAGCUGGUGACGAGCCGCAGCUUCCGCACGGCCAGUGUCAGCAUCAACCAGACAGAGCCCCCCAAAGUGAGGCUGGAGGGGCGCACUACCACCUCACUGACCGUCACCUGGAGCAUCCCCGUGCCACAGCGGAGCCGCGUGUGGAAGUACGAGAUCACCUACCACAAGAAGGGGGAUGCCAACAGCUACAAUGUGCACCGCACGGAGGGCUUCUCUGUGACCCUGAAAAACCUGGCUCCGGACACCACCUACCUGGUCCAGGUGCAGGCACUGACGCAGGAAGGCCAGGGCGCUGGCAGCAAGGAGUACGAGUUCCAGACCCUGUCCUUGGAAGGAUCUAGCAACAUGGCAGUGAUUGGUGGUGUGGCCGUUGGUGCCGUCUUGCUCUUGGUGCUGGCUGGAAUCGGCUUUUUCAUCCACCGAAGGAGGAGGAGGCUCCGUGCUCGCCAGUCCUCAGAGGACGUUUACUUCUCCAAGUCAGAACAACUGAAGCCCCUGAAGACGUACGUGGACCCCCACACAUAUGAAGACCCCAACCAGGCCGUGCUCAAGUUCACCACCGAGAUCCACCCGUCCUGUAUCACUCGGCAGAAGGUGAUCGGGGCAGGAGAGUUUGGGGAGGUGUACAAGGGAAUGCUGAAGUCGUCCUCGGGAAAGAAGGAGGUGCCCGUGGCCAUCAAGACGCUGAAAGCCGGCUACACGGAGAAGCAGCGGGUGGACUUCCUGAGCGAGGCCAGCAUCAUGGGCCAGUUCAGCCACCACAACAUCAUCCGCCUGGAGGGCGUCAUCUCCAAAUACAAACCCAUGAUGAUCAUCACAGAGUACAUGGAGAACGGGGCCCUGGACAAGUUCCUUCGGGAGGAGGACGGCGAGUUCAGCGUGUUGCAGCUGGUGGGCAUGCUGAGGGGCAUCGCGGCGGGCAUGAAGUACCUGGCCAACAUGAACUACGUGCACCGCGACCUGGCCGCCCGCAACAUCCUCGUCAACAGCAACCUGGUCUGCAAGGUGUCUGACUUUGGCCUGUCCCGCGUGCUGGAGGACGACCCCGAGGCCACCUAUACCACCAGUGGCGGCAAGAUCCCCAUCCGCUGGACGGCCCCGGAGGCCAUCUCCUACCGCAAGUUCACCUCAGCCAGCGACGUGUGGAGCUACGGCAUUGUCAUGUGGGAGGUGAUGACAUACGGCGAGCGGCCCUACUGGGAGCUGUCAAACCAUGAGGUGAUGAAAGCCAUCAACGACGGCUUCCGGCUCCCCACGCCCAUGGACUGCCCCUCGGCCAUCUACCAGCUCAUGAUGCAGUGCUGGCAGCAGGAGCGCGCCCGCCGCCCCAGGUUUGCGGACAUCGUCAGCAUCCUCGACAAGCUCAUCCGUGCCCCCAACUCCCUCAAGACGCUGGCUGACUUUGACCCCCGGGUGUCCAUCCGGCUGCCCAGCACCAGCGGCUCGGAGGGCGUCCCCUUCCGCACCGUGUCCGAGUGGCUGGAGUCCAUCAAGAUGCAGCAGUACACAGAGCACUUCGUGACGGCCGGCUACACCGCCAUUGAGAAGGUGGUGCAGAUGACCAGCGAUGACAUCAAGAGGAUCGGGGUGCGGCUGCCGGGCCACCAGAAGCGCAUCGCCUACAGCCUGCUGGGCCUCAAGGACCAGGUGAACACUGUGGGGAUCCCCAUCUGAGCGCGCACCAGGCUUCGAGUCCCCCUGAAAAAAAAUACUUGAAGAAACAGAGUGGCCCUCCCGCCGACUCCACGCUGGACCACCAAGGACCUUAUUUAUUUCCAUUUGCUCCUUGUGGACCACACUGAGACCUCUGCUGGAGCCCUGGGGUAACACUGUGGCCUGGAUUGGCGGGACCUCCAGGAGGCUGGGCCCAGCCUCUUCCCCUGCUGAGCACUUAGCAGGUACCAUCCUGUUCCCAGCACCCCCUGGGGCAGGAGCCCUGCUGGGUCAGUGACAGCACAGGGGACAUUUCCACACUGACCUCCCCUCCCUUCCGGGAGAAGCCAUCUUGGAAGAUGGGGGCUCAGCCCACGGCCAUGCGCAUAGGGUACCUCAGGCCUCACCCCUGCAAGACAAGAGGGCGGACGUUGAACUGGGCUACCGGAGCCCCAGAGCGGACCUCCGUCCUGCAGUGCCUUUUCUCAGACCCCCAGGCCCUGUCUUUCGCGGGCCUGGGUCAGUCUCUUGCUUUCCUGGGGCCCUCUCAGGCUGCUUGGUUGUGUUGAGGUUUUUUAACUGUACAUUUUGUACUUUGUGGAGAGAAUGUAUGUGUGGGGGCCCAGGGCGGGGGACAGACAUUCCGGGGCUGGGUGGGCGGUGCUGCAGGAGGCCCUGCCCUCUCCCGCCCACCCACCUCCGCCUCCUUAGAUGACUUCUGUCAGUGUUAAUGAGUUUUA